RNAcentral lists this ribosomal RNA (315 nucleotides) under uncultured bacterium. Its description in RNAcentral is "bacterial SSU rRNA". It matches the Rfam family "Bacterial small subunit ribosomal RNA", at positions 28 to 334 of the family's 1533-position model. The record is from RNAcentral.
GAUGAACGCUAGCUACAGGCUUAACACAUGCAAGUCGAGGGGCAGCAUGUUGGUUGCUUGCAACCAAUGUUGGCGACCGGCGCACGGGUGCGUAACGCGUAUCGAACCUGCCCUAUACUCGGGGAUAGCCUUGCGAAAGUAAGAUUAAUACCCGAUGUUGUUAUUACAUCGCAUGAUGUUUUAACCAAAGAUUUAUCGGUAUAGGAUGGCGAUGCGUGACAUUAGGUAGUAGGUGAGGUAACGGCUCACCUAGCCUACGAUGUCUAGGGGUUCUGAGAGGAAGGUCCCCCACACUGGAACUGAGACACGGUCCAG